This 274-nucleotide ribosomal RNA is filed under the name uncultured bacterium. RNAcentral's name for it is "partial 16S ribosomal RNA". It matches the Rfam family "Bacterial small subunit ribosomal RNA", at positions 523 to 796 of the family's 1533-position model. The record is from RNAcentral.
AUACGGAGGGUGCAAGCGUUACUCGGAAUCACUGGGCGUAAAGCGCGCGCAGGCGGGCUGAUAAGUUGGAUGUGAAAGCCUACGGCUCAACCGUAGAACUGCAUCCAAAACUGUCAGUCUAGAGUCUGGGAGGGGAAGAUGGAAUUAGUUGUGUAGGGGUAAAAUCCGUAGAGAUAACUAGGAAUACCAAAAGCGAUGGCGAUCUUCUGGAACAGUACUGACGCUGAGGCGCGAAAGCGUGGGGAGCAAACAGGAUUAGAAACCCUAGUAGUCC